Molecule: non-coding RNA, 448 nt
Organism: Paramuricea clavata
Lineage: Eukaryota; Metazoa; Cnidaria; Anthozoa; Malacalcyonacea; Plexauridae
Source: the annotation of a GenBank genome assembly
UGACUGGUACAUAAUCCCCUUUCAUUUUCGUCAAAAUUUCAUUAUUUGCUGUUUUGACACCAACUGGUUGAAUGUGAAUUGCAGCACAAGUAUGAAAAUAUCUAAUCUGUACAGUGUACACUUUGAAUGUUGUCACUAAAAUGUGUUUAACAAUGAAAAAAACCGCAUUAUGGAAUUAACUUCCAUGGCCCGGAACCCCUACGAAUAUUAAUAAAGAUUGCAUAGAAAUUAUUAGUGAUACUGAUGACAGAUCACAAAUACAUCACCUUCGAGAGAACAUCAUCAUAUUUCGUCUUUGCAGCAGUUUUAGCCACAUCCACAUUCUUCCCCAUGUUACGAAAAUAUUACUGUAAAUCAUCAACAACAAUUCAGCAGCUCCAAUAAAGAAAACUAUAAUUCAUAAUUUACAGCAUUUCGUCUCUGAUUUCAUUUUAUUUUUUACUGAUCG